RNAcentral lists this unclassified non-coding RNA (481 nucleotides) under Hevea brasiliensis (rubber tree). The record is from RNAcentral. Lineage: Eukaryota; Viridiplantae; Streptophyta; Magnoliopsida; Malpighiales; Euphorbiaceae.
CAUAUAUAUAUUUCUCCUUACAUUGUAUGCUCUGCUCCUAGUGUAUGUGCAUCUUAACUGACAAAAUUAUGAAUCUCAUACUCAUAAAUUUAAUAAAUAAUUAUUUUUUAUAUUGCCUUCUUUCACAUCCACAUAAUAAUAACAACAAUUUGUUUGCAAAGCUGAAAUAAGAAUGCGUACAUUAACUCUUCUUUGAAGCACAAAUGCGUUAUGCUUCAUGCAUCUCCUUUUAUCCACGCAUAAUUAUUAGACAUCCUGAGUACAAAAUUUAUGACUUAGGGGACCAUAAAAACUGUCCCUAAAAGCCUGCUUCGCUUACAAAAUUUAUGACUUAAAAGAGACCUUGCAAUAAGCCGUCCUGAAGUUUGGCUUUGUUCAUUAUCGUUUCUAUUUUAUGUUUCAACUUUGAAGAACAGAUUCACAUACAAAGAGAGAAAUAGAUACCCAUUAUAUGGUUAAUUUCCUAUUUUUUGCAGGAAAU